GAUGGGGGUCAAUGAUUAUACUGAGCCCACUAAGCAUAGGCCAGCCUAGAGGCUGAGUGUUUUCUGCAUGUAUUUUAAGGGAAAAUGGCAGGCAAUUCCAUGCAGAGCUCUGGCCGAGAAACAUCUGCACAGCCUUUGCUCUGCAGAGAGGCUCCUCUGAAGGUGCCCCUUGCACACAAACCAGACCCUGGAUGUUCUCACACUUAUGUCAGUUAACGUUGCCUGGUGCUAGAGGUGGCAUUGGGCAUAACCCAUUUAUUUUGGCUGCUAUAUGGAUUGGCUUUGUGUGAAUGACCAUCUCCAUAUGCUGGCAAUAUCAAAGGUUCCUCUUUCCACCUCUCUUUGGACAGUGAUUGCUUCUCCUCCAUUUCUCCUGCUGUGUGCCAUCUGUCCACACUUGUGCAAUAAGAUCAAUAUCCUGUCAGACUUCAUCAUGUGUCCUCUUUAGUAUCUCAUUGUGUAAAUCUGCAUAGCUGUAAAUCAGAUUUUUUUUUUUUAAUUUGAAAAAAUAAUAAUGAAUUCCUCAUCACAGCAAAGAUGUUGUUGUUACUGUCAGUCCGGCACAGAUAAUGAAGUCAAUAAGGGAUCUCUGAUAUGCUUGUAUCUGGCCAGAAAAAUUUAAGUUUUAGAAGCUAAUGCCACCAGGACAAUUGAGGAAAACAGCUGCAACACAGGACCUGGUAACUUAUCUAUUCUUUCUUUUUUUUUUUAAGACUCAAGGGGGAUACAUAAGGCUGUGUCUAUUACUUCUAAAAUGUUAGUAUAUUUGAUUCUCCCUCGUGUACACACAUUGCUAUUACCCUUCAGAAAUUCCAUUUGAAAACACGAUACCAGGAGUCUGGUGUGGUUGAUCAGGACUAUCUAAACACGCUGCCGGCUUUAGUGUUUGUAUACUGUGUUUGUCACUGUGAUGUGGGACCUGUGAUAUUUGCAAUCUCCACAGUCUAAGUUUUCUUUGAAAAGUAGUUAGCAGCACAAUGUGAUCCCUGAGCUUGGCUUAUGUUUGUUUUUAUCAGUAUGCAAUAAUCCACCCUCACAUGAUAGCUGUGUGAGCUGCCAAAAUGUAAAUGACGUUCCUGCCUAUGCUCUCACUGGAGGUACUGGACUAGUUAUUUCUCCUCUGAAAGAGCAAUGAAUCUGAUAGUUGUCAGCAACCUGAGAUUUAGAUGCUAACUUUUCCCCUUGUGUUGCUGUGUAUUGAUCUCCUUUAUCCUAAUUUGUUUGUUUGUUGUUUGGUCCGCUGUCUCUGAGUAAGCUAAUCUGUUUAGAUUUUCAUGUAUACAUAUGGCUCUGGUUUAGGUCUGUGUUUUGUUUUAGGAUGGUAAAGCUCAAGAGUAAUCAAGACGUCUGUUCCAUGGGGUAGACUCCCCAUUAUACACACAUCCCUGGGAUACUGGAAACCUUUGACAACCGGAGCCUCACCAUUUCAUUUUCCCCCCUGAAACCCAGAUUUGUUAAAGUAAUAAAGUAGAAAAGUAAUAAAGCAGGAAAAAAAAAGGAGUAACGUAGACAUUGUAGUCAUUUGGACUUUUUCUA
This is a long non-coding RNA of Cygnus olor (mute swan), 1536 nucleotides long. RefSeq lists it as uncharacterized. The record is from RefSeq and is a predicted model, not a curated record. The transcript has 5 exons. Lineage: Eukaryota; Metazoa; Chordata; Aves; Anseriformes; Anatidae.